Molecule: ribosomal RNA, 720 nt
Filed under: Luteimonas sp. YIM224
Lineage: Bacteria; Pseudomonadati; Pseudomonadota; Gammaproteobacteria; Lysobacterales; Lysobacteraceae
Description: bacterial SSU rRNA
Rfam family: Bacterial small subunit ribosomal RNA
Source: RNAcentral
AGUCGAACGGCAGCACAGAGGAGCUUGCUCCUUGGGUGGCGAGUGGCGGACGGGUGAGGAAUACAUCGGAAUCUGCCUAUUUGUGGGGGAUAACGUAGGGAAACUUACGCUAAUACCGCAUACGACCUACGGGUGAAAGCGGAGGACCUUCGGGCUUCGCGCAGAUAGAUGAGCCGAUGUCGGAUUAGCUAGUUGGCGGGGUAAAGGCCCACCAAGGCGACGAUCCGUAGCUGGUCUGAGAGGAUGAUCAGCCACACUGGAACUGAGACACGGUCCAGACUCCUACGGGAGGCAGCAGUGGGGAAUAUUGGACAAUGGGCGCAAGCCUGAUCCAGCCAUGCCGCGUGGGUGAAGAAGGCCUUCGGGUUGUAAAGCCCUUUUGUUGGGAAAGAAAAGCAGUCGGUUAAUACCCGAUUGUUCUGACGGUACCCAAAGAAUAAGCACCGGCUAACUUCGUGCCAGCAGCCGCGGUAAUACGAAGGGUGCAAGCGUUACUCGGAAUUACUGGGCGUAAAGCGUGCGUAGGUGGUUUGUUAAGUCUGAUGUGAAAGCCCUGGGCUCAACCUGGGAAUUGCAUUGGAUACUGGCAGGCUAGAGUGCGGUAGAGGGUAGUGGAAUUCCCGGUGUAGCAGUGAAAUGCGUAGAGAUCGGGAGGAACAUCCGUGGCGAAGGCGACUACCUGGACCAGCACUGACACUGAGGCACGAAAGCGUGGGGAGC